UACGGAAGGGGCAAGCGUUGUUCGGAAUCAUUGGGCGUAAAGGGCGCGUAGGUGGUUCUGUAUGUCUACCGUGAAAGCGUACGGCUCAACCGUAUUUUGUCGGUGGAAACUGCAGGACUUGAGGCUGGGAGGGGCUGGUGGAAUUCCCUGUGUAGCGGUGAAAUGCGCAGAUAUCAGGAGGAACACCGGUGGCGAAGGCGGGUCUCUGGGCCGUAACUGACGCUGAGGAGCGAAAGCAUGGGGAGCAAACAGG
This 253-nucleotide ribosomal RNA is filed under the name uncultured bacterium. RNAcentral's name for it is "partial 16S ribosomal RNA". It matches the Rfam family "Bacterial small subunit ribosomal RNA", at positions 524 to 776 of the family's 1533-position model. The record is from RNAcentral.